RNAcentral lists this non-coding RNA (45 nucleotides) under Schistosoma haematobium. The record is from RNAcentral. Lineage: Eukaryota; Metazoa; Platyhelminthes; Trematoda; Strigeidida; Schistosomatidae.
GUCCAGCUGACGAGUCCCAAACAGGACGAAACGCGCGUUCUGGAU